Molecule: ribosomal RNA, 254 nt
Filed under: uncultured bacterium
Lineage: Bacteria
Description: partial 16S ribosomal RNA
Rfam family: Bacterial small subunit ribosomal RNA
Source: RNAcentral
UACGUAGGGUGCAAGCGUUGUCCGGAAUUAUUGGGCGUAAAGAGCUCGUAGGCGGUUUGUCGCGUCUGCUGUGAAAAAUCCAGGGCUUAACCCUGGACCUGCAGUGGGUACGGGCAGACUAGAGUGCGGUAGGGGAGAUCGGAAUUCCUGGUGUAGCGGUGAAAUGCGCAGAUAUCAGGAGGAACACCGGUGGCGAAGGCGGAUCUCUGGGCCGUAACUGACGCUGAGGAGCGAAAGCAUGGGGAGCGAACAGG